This is a long non-coding RNA of Leopardus geoffroyi (Geoffroy's cat), 556 nucleotides long. RefSeq lists it as uncharacterized. The transcript is spliced from 4 exons. The record is from RefSeq and is a predicted model, not a curated record. NCBI's taxonomy places the organism in Eukaryota, Metazoa, Chordata, Mammalia, Carnivora, Felidae.
ACGUCCAAUGGAGGUGAGGAGCUCCAAGCUGCAUGGCGCUCCCGCCCUGCCUCCUGCCGCCCCGACUGCCCUAGUGAACGGGCCCCGGAGCCUGCAAAGACGGCCAGGAGAACUAUUAAACCAACCAUGCAAAUUAUCAAGGCCCCACAGACCCAGGAGGAGAAAGAAACUAGACAACGUUUAGUCACAUCAUUCAAGGCUAUCCUUCCCAAGGACAUCUAAGCCCUAUUCCUCGUCCACACCACUGUCCUUCCUUGGAAAAUUUUGACAGGCCUCUGAUCACUUCCCUCCCUGGAGAAUUUCAACUGUUGCACAUCAGGACAGGCUGGUCUUUCUCACUCUGACCGCUCUCCAGCUAGUUCAGCCUUCCAGACUUCCUCACAGUUUUCUGCUCCACUCUUUUUCACCCCAUGAAGAACUUCAGUGAAAUAGCUAACUGUAGUUAGUGAAUUCCUUCUUAAAGAAAGAUACCUUUUAGGGAUAUAAUUAACCAGUUCCAUAAUUUUCCUGUUUUGUACAUGUGAACUUUGGUAUGUUACAGUUUCACCUCUUCAGU